This 75-nucleotide transfer RNA is filed under the name Trachymyrmex cornetzi. It matches the Rfam family "tRNA". Rfam says of the family: Transfer RNA (tRNA) molecules are approximately 80 nucleotides in length. Their secondary structure includes four short double-helical elements and three loops (D, anti-codon, and T loops). Further hydrogen bonds mediate the characteristic L-shaped molecular structure. tRNAs have two regions of fundamental functional importance: the anti-codon, which is responsible for specific mRNA codon recognition, and the 3' end, to which the tRNAs corresponding amino acid is attached (by aminoacyl-tRNA synthetases). tRNAs cope with the degeneracy of the genetic code in two manners: having more than one tRNA (with a specific anti-codon) for a particular amino acid; and 'wobble' base-pairing, i.e. permitting non-standard base-pairing at the 3rd anti-codon position. The record is from Rfam by way of RNAcentral. Lineage: Eukaryota; Metazoa; Arthropoda; Insecta; Hymenoptera; Formicidae.
GCCUCGGUGGUCUAAUGGGUUAGGACGCUCUCGUACGGAAUACAAGAGAUCCGGGUUCAAGUCCCGGCCGAGGUA